This 1463-nucleotide ribosomal RNA is filed under the name uncultured Klebsiella sp. RNAcentral describes it as "bacterial SSU rRNA". It matches the Rfam family "Bacterial small subunit ribosomal RNA". Lineage: Bacteria; Pseudomonadati; Pseudomonadota; Gammaproteobacteria; Enterobacterales; Enterobacteriaceae. The record is from RNAcentral.
AUUGAACGCUGGCGGCAGGCCUAACACAUGCAAGUCGAGCGGUAGCACAGAGAGCUUGCUCUCGGGUGACGAGCGGCGGACGGGUGAGUAAUGUCUGGGAAACUGCCUGAUGGAGGGGGAUAACUACUGGAAACGGUAGCUAAUACCGCAUAACGUCGCAAGACCAAAGUGGGGGACCUUCGGGCCUCAUGCCAUCAGAUGUGCCCAGAUGGGAUUAGCUAGUAGGUGGGGUAACGGCUCACCUAGGCGACGAUCCCUAGCUGGUCUGAGAGGAUGACCAGCCACACUGGAACUGAGACACGGUCCAGACUCCUACGGGAGGCAGCAGUGGGGAAUAUUGCACAAUGGGCGCAAGCCUGAUGCAGCCAUGCCGCGUGUGUGAAGAAGGCCUUCGGGUUGUAAAGCACUUUCAGCGGGGAGGAAGGCGUUAAGGUUAAUAACCUUGGCGAUUGACGUUACCCGCAGAAGAAGCACCGGCUAACUCCGUGCCAGCAGCCGCGGUAAUACGGAGGGUGCAAGCGUUAAUCGGAAUUACUGGGCGUAAAGCGCACGCAGGCGGUCUGUCAAGUCGGAUGUGAAAUCCCCGGGCUCAACCUGGGAACUGCAUUCGAAACUGGCAGGCUAGAGUCUUGUAGAGGGGGGUAGAAUUCCAGGUGUAGCGGUGAAAUGCGUAGAGAUCUGGAGGAAUACCGGUGGCGAAGGCGGCCCCCUGGACAAAGACUGACGCUCAGGUGCGAAAGCGUGGGGAGCAAACAGGAUUAGAUACCCUGGUAGUCCACGCCGUAAACGAUGUCGAUUUGGAGGUUGUGCCCUUGAGGCGUGGCUUCCGGAGCUAACGCGUUAAAUCGACCGCCUGGGGAGUACGGCCGCAAGGUUAAAACUCAAAUGAAUUGACGGGGGCCCGCACAAGCGGUGGAGCAUGUGGUUUAAUUCGAUGCAACGCGAAGAACCUUACCUGGUCUUGACAUCCACAGAACUUUCCAGAGAUGGAUUGGUGCCUUCGGGAACUGUGAGACAGGUGCUGCAUGGCUGUCGUCAGCUCGUGUUGUGAAAUGUUGGGUUAAGUCCCGCAACGAGCGCAACCCUUAUCCUUUGUUGCCAGCGGUCCGGCCGGGAACUCAAAGGAGACUGCCAGUGAUAAACUGGAGGAAGGUGGGGAUGACGUCAAGUCAUCAUGGCCCUUACGACCAGGGCUACACACGUGCUACAAUGGCAUAUACAAAGAGAAGCGACCUCGCGAGAGCAAGCGGACCUCAUAAAGUAUGUCGUAGUCCGGAUUGGAGUCUGCAACUCGACUCCAUGAAGUCGGAAUCGCUAGUAAUCGUAGAUCAGAAUGCUACGGUGAAUACGUUCCCGGGCCUUGUACACACCGCCCGUCACACCAUGGGAGUGGGUUGCAAAAGAAGUAGGUAGCUUAACCUUCGGGAGGGCGCUUACCACUUUGUGAUUCAUGACUGGGGUGA